This 660-nucleotide ribosomal RNA is filed under the name Nocardioides marinus. Its description in RNAcentral is "bacterial SSU rRNA". It matches the Rfam family "Bacterial small subunit ribosomal RNA", at positions 90 to 763 of the family's 1533-position model. Lineage: Bacteria; Bacillati; Actinomycetota; Actinomycetes; Propionibacteriales; Nocardioidaceae. The record is from RNAcentral.
CUCGAGCGGCGAACGGGUGAGUAACACGUGAGUAAUCUGCCUCUGGCUUCGGGAUAGCCACCGGAAACGGUGAUUAAUACCGGAUACGACACGCUCUUGCAUGAGAUGUGUGUGGAAAGUUUUUUCGGCCAGGGAUGUGCUCGCGGCCUAUCAGCUUGUUGGUGGGGUAAUGGCCUACCAAGGCUUCGACGGGUAGCCGGCCUGAGAGGGUGACCGGCCACACUGGGACUGAGACACGGCCCAGACUCCUACGGGAGGCAGCAGUGGGGAAUAUUGGACAAUGGGCGGAAGCCUGAUCCAGCAACGCCGCGUGAGGGAUGACGGCCUUCGGGUUGUAAACCUCUUUCAGCACAGACGAAGCGCAAGUGACGGUAUGUGCAGAAGAAGGACCGGCCAACUACGUGCCAGCAGCCGCGGUAAUACGUAGGGUCCGAGCGUUGUCCGGAAUUAUUGGGCGUAAAGGGCUCGUAGGCGGUUUGUCGCGUCGGGAGUGAAAACACCGGGCUUAACUCGGUGCUUGCUUUCGAUACGGGCAGACUAGAGGCAUUCAGGGGAGAACGGAAUUCCUGGUGUAGCGGUGAAAUGCGCAGAUAUCAGGAGGAACACCGGUGGCGAAGGCGGUUCUCUGGGAAUGUCCUGACGCUGAGGAGCGAAAGUGUG